RNAcentral lists this unclassified non-coding RNA (234 nucleotides) under Zea mays. RNAcentral's name for it is "misc RNA Zm00001eb113000". Lineage: Eukaryota; Viridiplantae; Streptophyta; Magnoliopsida; Poales; Poaceae. The record is from RNAcentral.
CUGCACUGCAUACCCUCCACCCCCGCGUCCGAGCGCGACCCUGGCCCCGGCCCGUCUCGCCUGACCGCCGCCACGCCGACGGCUGACCAGCACGCGGGCCCAGCACCCCCGACCUCCGCCCAGGUCCCCUUCUUCUCGCCCUUCGCCAGCGACGAGCACCCAAUAGGUCUGAAGGAUGAGAAAGGGACUGCAUCCUCAGAUGCAAUGGAUCUCAUAUGUGACGCAGAGUGGUAG